Molecule: ribosomal RNA, 491 nt
Filed under: uncultured bacterium
Lineage: Bacteria
Description: partial 16S ribosomal RNA
Rfam family: Bacterial small subunit ribosomal RNA
Source: RNAcentral
AGUGAACGCUGGCGGUAGGCCUAACACAUGCAAGUCGAACGGCAGCACAGUAAGAGCUUGCUCUUACGGGUGGCGAGUGGCGGACGGGUGAGGAAUACAUCGGAAUCUACUUUUUCGUGGGGGAUAACGUAGGGAAACUUACGCUAAUACCGCAUACGACCUACGGGUGAAAGUAGGGGAUCUUCGGACCUUGCGCGAUUGAAUGAGCCGAUGUCGGAUUAGCUAGUUGGCGGGGUAAAGGCCCACCAAGGCGACGAUCCGUAGCUGGUCUGAGAGGAUGAUCAGCCACACUGGAACUGAGACACGGUCCAGACUCCUAUGGGAGGCAGCAGUGGGGAAUAUUGGACAAUGGGCGCAAGCCUGAUCCAGCCAUACCGCGUGGGUGAAGAAGGCCUUCGGGUUGUAAAGCCCUUUUGUUGGGAAAGAAAAGCAGCAGGUUAAUACCCCGCUGUUCUGACGGUACCCAAAGAAUAAGCACCGGCUAACUUCGU